Molecule: long non-coding RNA, 3998 nt
Filed under: Olea europaea subsp. europaea
Lineage: Eukaryota; Viridiplantae; Streptophyta; Magnoliopsida; Lamiales; Oleaceae
Source: RNAcentral
CCUCAUUCUAGGUUAUGUUUAUAGCUUUCUUGCCCCGGGACUUUUUAAGGUGUGUGCAUACUCAGCCACUAUGUGCUCAAACCCUUUGCAUCCAAAACGUUGGACAUGAUUUUGGCUCUUUCCACAGAUGGUGUGGGAUUUCGCCUAGAGUUAUUGAAGAACUUCUUUUGAGGUGCCUUUAUUUUUGAGCUUCUUCAUUUCUAACUGUUUUUAUAUAUAAUUUCUUAAAUUGUUUAGUGAGCAUGGUCGUUUGGUUAUCAUUCUCACUUUUAUCAUCUUCUUACCUCCUUGGUUUUAAAGGUUAUUCUCGAUUAUUUUUCCUUCUUCCUUUUGUGAAGAUGUAGCUCAUAGGUCAUAAAAGAUCCUACCAAUUUUUCCACUUUCAUGCUUCCCUUGUCUUUCCUUUCCUCGAUAGUGGUUACCUUGAAGUGGAACCUAUCAGGUAGUGAUUUGAGAAAUUUUUUGACAAUUUUACUUUUCUGAGUAUUUCUUUCCCAAAGUGUAGGUCGAGUAAGUGAUGUCACUUCGUUUUGCAUAGAAUUUUUUAAAGUGCUCAUCAUCUCCCGUGGUUAAUUGCUCAAAUUUGAGUGUUAAUAUUCGGAGUUUAGAGGACUCCAGAAUUGAGGUUCCUUAAUGAGCAACUUGCAAUAUGUCCUAUGCCUUUUUAGCCAACUUGCAUGUUGAAAUCAAACGAAAUCGAUUAGCAUCAAUGAAUGACAAAAUAACAUUUAGAGCUUUAGAAUUCCAACCAAUAUUAUUAUAAUCAAUAGUCACCCAUUCAUCUGCUACUUUCUCUCUUUCUACAUCCUUUUCAAUUACGGUGAGAGUUUUAAAGCCAUACACGAUUGAGUGCCAUGCUUUCCCAUCUAAAGAUUGGACAUAGGCUUUCAUUCUUAUUUUUCAAUACGAAUAAUUAGUCCCAUCUAAGACAAGAGCUCUAACAAAGCACCGUCCUUUACAAGAUUUUAUGUAGUCUCAUUUUUUUUUUUUUAAAGUGAAAUCCCUCUUAUACUAAUUGUAAGUACUAAAACCUAGUUAAUUAAACAAUGUCUGAAUUAUUGUUUGCCAGAGUACGCCAGUCUGUUAGAACUUUCUACUGACAGUGCUACAUAUAGUUUUAAUUGGGAAGCUUAAUAGAUUUGUGUUCUACAAGAUAUAAUUUAUUGUAAAAUUAAAUAAAGAUGAACACCAAAUAUAACAUGGUAAACCCCUAAGGGAAACAUCCAUGAGCCCCCAUACCACAGGUAAAAUAAUCUACUAUCAAAGAAUAAAAAAUACAAUAUUUCAAUUUCAGAUUUUCGCAAAAUUUAACAAAAACAAUCAAAUCCUUGUUUUAUUUCUUCUUUUGGCAUGUUGGGAAAAUAGAAUCAAACCAUCCGAUAUUGACUUUAUCGUCAUUUCACUAUUGUAUUCGACCACAAACAUUACUUGAAUUAAGCUUUACCAAUUUUAACUUAUGCCAAGUAGCUUGAUCUUAAAGUAGAUUAUAUCAUUCACGCUUAGGUCCGUUAUCUUCAAUUGUGGUUGAAGAGCAUGAUUUUUACUUUGAGAUACUUCAAUGGAACAUGAGCCAAUAAGAACUCACUGAAGAUGGUACUUCAAAACUUGCUGCUGCAAGUUCACCAGAUAUAAACAGAUUUUUUUCAAAGCAUUAGUUCAUCCCUUAUUUGUUUUCUCCACUUAUGUAGAGACUCCUCCUAGGUACAAACAUGUCUUACCUAAAAUAUGGAAAUUUUGCAUGCUAAGAAUAAAAUAGAAUAUGUUUGAUAAUGUCAAUAAUUAAAUUAAGAAAAUGUUUAAUUUGUUAAAACAAUUUUUCCUUCUUUUAACUAUUUGACCAAUCAAACCAAUCCAAUAAGUGUGUGUGUGUGUGUAUUUGAUAUGGCCAAUGACUAAAUUAAGGAAAUUUUGAUUUUUUUAAAUCAAUCUUUCAUUCUUUUAAUUAUUUGAUCAAUCAAACCAGUUCAAGGUCGGCCUCUCUCCCUUUUCAUCUUAUCUUGAAAGGGAACGGUCUUCCGUGGUUGGUGUUAUGUUGCGGUAUCUUAUGGAAUGAGCUUAGCUCUUUCUCAACUCCCUCUCUUUUACUCUGCAUCUCCUCGAUAUCCUUGAUACAUCUCAUGUAAACUUAUGUGAGGUUUUGAUUUCUAGCCAAGCCAAUGCCUUCGAUCUUUGGUGGUGACAUAACUUUGCCAUGUCUAUUUUGUGGGAUAUUUGUUGUCAUCUACAAGCUUGAUAUGUUGAAGUUUAUUCAUUUUGGUAUGCUAAACAUCCACAUGGUCGUACUUUUACUAUUUUUCUUUGCUUAUAUCAAGUUAAUGUCUUAGUCAUUUCGAUUACAUAAAAAAAUCUAGCAAUAGUAGUUGAAAUGUAUUGUCAUUCGGGAUUAAGUUUUGUGCAAUACUUAAAUUCAAAUUUUACAUCAAGUUAAUUACUAGGGAAAAUUGCAACAGUGAUCCCUAACCUUUUCAUUUUUUACAAACUUUACCCUAACCUUCAUUUUGUGCCAGCGAAGGUUCCUAACCUUUCAUAAAUACACACUUGGGGUUCAUUCGGACGGAAACCGUCCAAAACAUCGUCAGUUGAUUGGCAAAAUUAAGGAAUCAACAUCCAAUAACACCGUCCAAAAAUGUAUCAACAUCCAAUAAAACCGUCGAGGUAGCAGAUAGUUCAAGGAAAUUUCUCGAUCAACUAACGGUGUUUUGGACAAUUUCCAUCUAGAUAGACCUCGGGUGCAUAUUUAUGAAAGGUUAAGGACCUUCGUCGGCACAAAAUGAAGGUUAAGGUAAAGUCUGCAAAAAAUGAAAAAGGUUAGGGACUGCUACUGCAAUUUUCCCUAAUUACUAUUGCUAUUAGGUACGGCACAUUGAAAAUCAGUGUUCAAAUCGUUAUUGAUCUACUCCCAUAGCCUACUCUGGGCAUGUUGAAUCUUGCAAGAUAAUUGAAUAUAUGUAGUAUCCAUUAAGAUCUGUAUUAUUAUAGGAAAAUAGAUUUGUGUAGAAAAUUUAAUGAGUUAGCUGAUACAGUUGAUUUUCUUAUCAAAUAAAGCUUAGUAUUGGAAUGUAUAUAAAUUCUUCUAUCUUGCAUAUUGAAAAUGACACAGGAAUUAUUCUGCAAUAUAUUGUUUAUAUUCAUAGUAUCUGAGUUAUGUCCUAGUAGCUCUUGCAACCUAUUACCUUUUGAUCAAACUACGUCAUGGCAGAAACCAUUAAUACAGAAACAUCAACAGAUACCGAUAAAUUGGAUCUCUAUUCUCUAUAUCACUCAGAUCAUUUGAGCAUUAUUCUUGUCUCCGAACUGCUUAAAGGAGACAACUACGGUAUAUGGAGUCGUGCUGUGCGAAUUGGUUUAAGUGCUAAAAAUGAAAUCGAAUUUGUAAUGGGUUUAUCAAAUCGCCUCCUUCGACAGAUGCAAGUUUCGUGUUAUGGCACAAUGAUAUGGUCUUGUCAUGGUUAUUAAGCUCUGUUAAUCAAGACUUAGCAAGUAGCGUCAUGUAUGUCGAAACUGCUGCAGAGGUUUAAGCUGAGCUACAAGAGCUUUUCUCUUAAGGAAAUGACUCAAGGAUUUAUCAAAUCAAGCGAGAAAUUGCAGAACAUAGAUAGGGACAAGAAUCUAUUUCUGUAUAGUACACCAAAUUUAAGGCAUUCUGGGAUGAGCUUUCAUCCUAUCAUGACUCUCUAACCAUGUGGUGACUUAACAAGAGAGAAGAGGAGGAGAAAAUCAUGCAAUUUCAUAUGGGAUUGAAUAAUAGCUAUUCCACAAUUCAUGGACAGAUCAUGCUGAUGCAGUCCCUACCCAACACAAGCCGUGUUUAUUCAUUCGUCCUUCAACAAGAAAAACAGGUUGAAGUUUCUAUCAAUCGUGGAAAUAUUAAUCAUCAUGCUAUGUUUGUAGAUCAGCAGAGUAAAGCAAAUCAAGCUCGGAGACACAAAUUAAGGAACACGUUACAUUGUUCAUACUGUGAUCAAGACUAUCACAACAUUGAGAAAUGUUAUUUUCUU